UGCAGUCGGACGACAGGCGAGGAAUCCGCAAGGAGGAAUCGUGCUGAGUGGCGAACGGGUGAGUAAGACAUGGGGACGUACCCUCAAGAGGGGGAUAGCAUUCCGAAAGGGAUGGUAAUACCCCGUAAGCUCGAGAGAGGGARGGUGCAACAGCACCGCUUGAGGAGCGACUCAUGGCCCAUCAGUUAGUUGGUGAGGUAAAGGCCCACCAAGGCUAUGACGGGUAGCUGGUCUGAGAGGAUGGUCAGCCACACUGGGACUGAGACACGGCCCAGACUCCUACGGGAGGCAGCAGUGGGGAAUUUUUCCCARUGGGCGAAAGCCUGAGGGAGCGACGCCGCGUGGAGGAAGGAGUCUUUCGAGAUGUAAACUCCUGUUGUAAGGGAGCAAGGGUAUAUGUAGUGGAAAGGCAUAUACUCGGAUAGUACCUUACGAGGAAGCCCCGGCUAACUACGUGCCAGCAGCCGCGGUAAUACGUAGGGGGCGAGCGUUGUCCGGAGUUACUGGGCGUAAAGGGUGCGUAGGUGGCCGAUAAAGUCAAUUGUGAAAUUCCACGGCUCAACUGUGGGAGUGCGGUUG
This 579-nucleotide ribosomal RNA is filed under the name uncultured bacterium. RNAcentral's name for it is "bacterial SSU rRNA". It matches the Rfam family "Bacterial small subunit ribosomal RNA", at positions 56 to 629 of the family's 1533-position model. The record is from RNAcentral.